AUCAAUUAAACUGAUCUCCUAGUAAAAAAGCUAGAAUUACAACAUAAGACCAGAAGACCCUGUGAAGCUUAAAUAAAACUAUUAAACCAUAUAAUAGCUACUUUCGGUUGGGGCGACCUUGGAAAAAAAAAGAACUUCCAAAUAAAAUGAAUAUACCUCAUUAUCUAAACAGGCCAACAAGCCAAAAAUGACCCAGCACAGCUGAUAAUUGAACCAAGUUACUCCAGGGAUAACAGCGCAAUCUUCUUCAAGAGCCCAUAUCAAAAAGAAGGUUUACGACCUCGAUGUUGGAUCAGGACAUCCUAAUGGUGCAGCCGCUAUUAAGGGUUCGUUUGUUCAACGAUUAAUA
Molecule: ribosomal RNA, 349 nt
Filed under: Coronella austriaca
Lineage: Eukaryota; Metazoa; Chordata; Lepidosauria; Squamata; Colubridae
Description: partial large subunit ribosomal RNA
Rfam family: Bacterial large subunit ribosomal RNA
Source: RNAcentral